CUAGUGGCGAACGGGUGAGUAACACGUGAGGAACCUGCCCCGGAGACCGGGAUAGCCCAGGGAAACCUGGAUUAAUACCGGAUACCCUCGGAUGGUCACAUGGCCGAGCGAGGAAAUGGUCCGCUGCUCCGGGAUGGCCUCGCGCCCUAUCAGCUUGUUGGUGAGGUAACGGCUCACCAAGGUGUAGACGGGUAGCUGGUCUGAGAGGACGAUCAGCCACACUGGGACUGAGACACGGCCCAGACUCCUACGGGAGGCAGCAGCAGGGAAUAUUGCACAAUGGGCGAAAGCCUGAUGCAGCGACGCCGCGUGAGGGAUGACGGCCUUCGGGUUGUAAACCUCUUUCAGGAGGGACGAAGCGAAAGUGACGGUACCUCCAGAAGAAGCCCCGGCCAACUACGUGCCAGCAGCCGCGGUAAUACGUAGGGGGCGAGCGUUGUCCGGAUUCAUUGGGCGUAAAGAGCUCGUAGGCGGCUCAGCAAGUCGGCCGUGAAAUCCCAGGGCUCAACCCUGGGGCGCCGGUCGAAACUGCUGUGGCUAGGGUCCGGUAGAGGAGAGUGGAAUUCCCGGUGUAGCGGUGAAAUGCGCAGAUAUCGG
RNAcentral lists this ribosomal RNA (597 nucleotides) under uncultured bacterium. RNAcentral's name for it is "bacterial SSU rRNA". It matches the Rfam family "Bacterial small subunit ribosomal RNA", at positions 92 to 700 of the family's 1533-position model. The record is from RNAcentral.